RNAcentral lists this ribosomal RNA (467 nucleotides) under uncultured bacterium. Its description in RNAcentral is "partial 16S ribosomal RNA". It matches the Rfam family "Bacterial small subunit ribosomal RNA", at positions 28 to 506 of the family's 1533-position model. The record is from RNAcentral.
GACGAACGCUGGCGGCGUGCUUAACACAUGCAAGUCGAACGGAAAGGCCCUGCUUUUGUGGGGUGCUCGAGUGGCGAACGGGUGAGUAACACGUGAGUAACCUGCCCUUGACUUUGGGAUAACUUCAGGAAACUGGGGCUAAUACCGGAUAGGAGCUCCUGCUGCAUGGUGGGGGUUGGAAAGUUUCGGCGGUUGGGGAUGGACUCGCGGCUUAUCAGCUUGUUGGUGGGGUAGUGGCUUACCAAGGCUUUGACGGGUAGCCGGCCUGAGAGGGUGACCGGCCAAAUGGGAAUUAGGAUGCGGCCCAAACCCCUAGGGGGGGCGGAAGUGGGGAAUAUUGCACAGGGGGGGGAAGCCUGAGGCAGAAACGCCGGGUGGGGGAUGACGGCCUUCGGGUUGUAAACCGCUUUCGCGUGUGACGAAGCGUGGGUGACGGUAAUGGGGAAAGAAGCACCGGCAAACUCAGU